Molecule: ribosomal RNA, 253 nt
Filed under: uncultured bacterium
Lineage: Bacteria
Description: partial 16S ribosomal RNA
Rfam family: Bacterial small subunit ribosomal RNA
Source: RNAcentral
UACGGAGGGUGCUAGCGUUGUUCGGAAUUACUGGGCGUAAAGCGCGCGUAGGCGGCUUUGUAAGUUAGAGGUGAAAGCCCGGAGCUCAACUCCGGAAUUGCCUUUAAGACUGCAUCGCUAGAAUCAUGGAGAGGUGAGUGGAAUUCCGAGUGUAGAGGUGAAAUUCGUAGAUGUUCGGAAGAACACCAGUGGCGAAGGCGACUCACUGGACAUGUAUUGACGCUGAGGUGCGAAAGCGUGGGGAGCAAACAGG